This 914-nucleotide ribosomal RNA is filed under the name uncultured fungus. Its description in RNAcentral is "SSU rRNA". It matches the Rfam family "Eukaryotic small subunit ribosomal RNA", at positions 860 to 1797 of the family's 1831-position model. The record is from RNAcentral. Lineage: Eukaryota; Fungi.
GCCGUAUGAUUAAUAGGGAUAGUUGGGGGCAUUUGUAUUCCGUCGUCAGAGGUGAAUUUCUGGAUUGCCGGAAGACAAACUACUGCGAAAGCAUUUGCCAAGGAUGUUUCAUUGAUCAAGAACGAAGGAAGGGGGAUCGAAAACGAUUAGAUACCGUUGUAGUCUCUUCUGUAAACUAUGCCAAUUGGGGAUCGGUACAGGAUUUUUAAUGACUGUAUCGGCACCCGAAGAGAAAUCUUUAAAUGAGGUUCGGGGGGGAGUAUGGUCGCAAGGCUGAAACUUAAAGGAAUUGACGGAAGGGCACCACCAGGUGUGGAGCCUGCGGCUUAAUUUGACUCAACACGGGGAAACUCACCAGGUCCAGACACAAUAAGGAUUGACAGAUUGAUAGCUCUUUCUUGAUCUUGUGGUUGGUGGUGCAUGGCCGUUCUUAGUUGGUGGAGUGAUUUGUCUGGUUAAUUCCGAUAACGAACGAGACCUUAACCUGCUAAAUAGACCAGCCGGCUUUGGCUAGCUGCUGUCUUCUUAGAGGGACUAUCAGCGUUUAGCUGAUGGAAGUUUGAGGCAAUAACAGGUCUGUGAUGCCCUUAGAUGUUCUGGGCCGCACGCGCGCUACACUGACAGAGCCAGCGAGUCUACCACCUUUGCCGGAAGGCAUGGGUAAUCUUGUGAAACUCUGUCGUGAUGGGGAUAGAACAUUGCAAUUAUUGUUCUUCAACGAGGAAUACCUAGUAAGCGUGAUUCAUCAGAUCGCGUUGAUUACGUCCCUGCCCUUUGUACACACCGCCCGUCGCUACUACCGAUUGAAUGGCUUAGUGAGGCCUCCGGAUUGGCUAUUGGGAGCUCGCGAGAGCACCCGACUGCCGAGAAGUUGUACAAAGGUGGUCAUUUAGAGGAAGUAAAAGUCGUAACAA